RNAcentral lists this ribosomal RNA (446 nucleotides) under uncultured bacterium. RNAcentral's name for it is "partial 16S ribosomal RNA". It matches the Rfam family "Bacterial small subunit ribosomal RNA", at positions 338 to 795 of the family's 1533-position model. The record is from RNAcentral.
CCUACGGGAGGCAGCAGUAGGGAAUUUUCGGCAAUGGGGGGAACCCUGACCGAGCAACGCCGCGUGAACGAAGAAGUUAUUCGUAAUGUAAAGUUCUUUUAACAGGGAAGAAAGAGAAAUUUGACGGUACCUGAAGAAUAAGCUCCGGCUAACUACGUGCCAGCAGCCGCGGUAAUACGUAGGGAGCGAGCGUUAUCCGGAAUUAUUGGGCGUAAAGGGUGCGUAGAUGGCAUAGUAAGUCUUUUGUAAAAAUGCUGGGCUCAACCCAGUAGGGCAAAAGAUACUGCAAAGCUAGAGUAUGAAAGAGGCAAGUGGAACUACAUGUGUAGCGGUAAAAUGCGUAGAUAUAUGUAAGAACACCAGUGGCGAAGGCGGCUUGCUGGGUCGAUACUGACAUUGAGGCACGAAAGCGUGGGGAGCAAACAGGAUUAGAUACCCGGGUAGUC